GAUGAAGAACGUAGCGAAAUGCGAUAAGUAAUGUGAAUUGCAGAAUUCAGUGAAUCAUCGAAUAUUUGAACGCACAUUGUGCCCCCUGGUAUUCCGGGGGGCAUGCCUGUCCGAGCGUCAUUACAACCCUCAAGCUCAGCUUGGUGUUGGGCCCCGCCGCCCCGGCGGGCCCUAAAGUCAGUGGCGGUGCCGUCCGGCUCCGAGCGUAGUAAUUCUUCUCGCUCUGGAGGUCCGGUCGUGUGCUCGCCAGCAACCCCCAAUUUUUUUCAGGUUGACCUCGGAUCAGGUAGGGAUACCCGCUGAACUUAAGCAUAUCAAUAAGCGGAGGA
Molecule: unclassified non-coding RNA, 329 nt
Filed under: soil metagenome
Description: partial contains 5.8S ribosomal RNA, internal transcribed spacer 2, and large subunit ribosomal RNA
Rfam family: 5.8S ribosomal RNA (bases 1-120)
Source: RNAcentral